UUCAUUUCUGUUGGCCGGACUGUGAACUGAACUCAGUACUGCCGCUUUCGUCCUCUGAGGCUUCUCCUUCUUGGCCUCUCUCUCUCUCUCUCUCUCUCUCUCGCUCUUCACCAAUAUUACUUCAGCUUCUGAAGGCUUUUCCAUUUCAGAUCAAGCUAUGGGAGCCGACGAGGCCGACCGUGUCUUUCCAUUUCAGCUCCAAUUCGACAAGCAUAUUGCCUCUCAGGUUAAAAUUUCCGAGUGGAAACCGGAAAGGAUUUGCUAGCCAUGGUCACAGAAGACUUGGGAGUUUUGCUCCACCGUGGCGGAGGUUGCGGACUAUAUCACCGGGGAAGAUGUUGAAAGAGUAAGAGAUUUGGUUGGGAUUCAAAGAUUGUGAAUUUUUAUUAAGGACACUUGGUAUGGAGUUUCAGCAGAUGGACUCUAGGCAUUCCCUCUCUUCCAUUCAAUUGGUCUGUGAGUAGUCUUGCAUACUUGACCAUUCAUAAUAUGACAGGUUGGAACUACAAAAUAACUUUGAGUAGUGGAUAAUGAUCCGGAUUCUUUGUGAAAGAGUGAGUUAUUGAAUGAUUGAUGAGAAAAUUGAAUUAUGAAGAGCAAGAAUGCUCUAUUUAUAUAGAGGAGAAUACAAGAAGAUAUUUAGAAAAUCUACCUAAAAAACUGCAGAAAAUCUGGUAACAAACAAGUAAUCAAAACAAAAUCUAAU
Non-coding RNA from Cucurbita pepo subsp. pepo (vegetable marrow), 706 nucleotides. NCBI's taxonomy places the organism in Eukaryota, Viridiplantae, Streptophyta, Magnoliopsida, Cucurbitales, Cucurbitaceae. The record is from RefSeq and is a predicted model, not a curated record.